This 141-nucleotide ribosomal RNA is filed under the name uncultured bacterium. RNAcentral describes it as "partial 16S rRNA". It matches the Rfam family "Bacterial small subunit ribosomal RNA", at positions 355 to 511 of the family's 1533-position model. The record is from RNAcentral.
UGGGGAAUUUUCCGCAAUGGGCGAAAGCCUGACGGAGCAAUGCUGCGUGGAGGUGGAAGGCCUACGGGUCGUCAACUUCUUUUCUCGGAGAAGAAACAAUGACGGUAUCUGAGGAAUAAGCAUCGGCUAACUCUGUGCCCG